GAUUCUCCAGACUGAGCUUUUGCUGGCAGAGAAAAAUGUGUCCAGGAUUCACAUCAGGAGAACAUACAGAAGACACAUUCUUGCAGCAUUUUUUUACUGGCAAUUGAUGUUGCUGCCAUAGAAAGAAACACAUAUAUAUGGGGACAAGAUAUAAAACAAGACAAAUGAAGAGAUACAAGUGUUCUCCCUGGAGUUUCAAGAUUCUAAUACAAGCAAAAUCACAGGAAGUUUCACGUCUUGCCUGCAAGGUCCAAACUUUGAUGUUUCACAGUCACAAGAUCCCAUGGGCAGACCCAGUGAAGGACUUAGGGUCCCUAAGGCCCCUCUGGCUACCUUGGAGUCCUGCCACUCACCUGCUCUCCUGGAAUGUAGAAAAAUUGCUUUCCCAUCUUGUGAGACAACAUCAUGUUCUGGCUGUGGUGACUCACAGGGACAGCUUCUGCAGCUUCAAAGAACAUGGGAGAAGGUACGAACCAGCCCACCUUUGUUCUCCCGACUUAAUUCCUACUGUGCAGUGCUUCAUACAACCGCCAGCACUUGGUGUGCUGUUUUUAACAGCAAUCUGCUGCAGGGAUCACACACAUUGUGCAGUCUGCUGGUUAUCAGCAUAGACAGUUCAAUUUAUUCUAGUCUGUGUUUUGUUUUGCAUCCUAGAAGGUUUUAGCACCCUUAGUUAAAGCUUAUGUGCAGUGAGCUCUUGUAGUGCCUCAGGAGCAGACUUCUUUGCUGGUAAAUUCUUGCUGGACAGCCAAGGUGCCUGCAGCAGCUUAGAGAAGAUGUUUAAAGCUGCUUUGAUUGAGAUGCUGAGAUACAUGGGGUUUCAG
This is a long non-coding RNA of Melopsittacus undulatus (budgerigar), 824 nucleotides long. RefSeq lists it as uncharacterized. Lineage: Eukaryota; Metazoa; Chordata; Aves; Psittaciformes; Psittaculidae. The transcript is spliced from 4 exons. The record is from RefSeq and is a predicted model, not a curated record.